Molecule: long non-coding RNA, 551 nt
Filed under: Carica papaya (papaya)
Lineage: Eukaryota; Viridiplantae; Streptophyta; Magnoliopsida; Brassicales; Caricaceae
Description: long non-coding RNA (CPAP_LNC000217)
Source: RNAcentral
GCUAAUAUUUCACCUAUAGGUCCAGACCUAAUAUCUAAUUUACAAGCAAACGUGGAAGAAAUAAAAGAUUGGGUAGCACCUGUAGUGAUCAGACUCUGGUAGAAAUGUCAUGGAUAGAAAGCAUACCCUGAAUGAAGAUAGGAGUGGGGAGGGCAAUGGAUUUAUCAAGGUGAUACACACAAUCCUGGGCUACAGGUCUGACCAUGUCCUUUAACCAUUGAGGGUAGUCCUUCAAGAGGUGCUGAGUGCUUCCGCACCUAUAGCAGGUGUUAUUCAAACGCAAAGAGGGUUGAUCACCAUAUAAGCGACCACAAUGUUGGCAUCGUUAGGAAGGUCAGGCAGGGGGAGGGACAACUUAGGGUCAUUUAUCGGGGUGGCUAUUUAUUAAGUCAGGUAGUCUUCUUCUGGGUUGUUGGGGUUGGGGUUAUCGUUGUUAGGUACGGAGUCGGACAAUGCGUUGGUGCCUGACCGAGAUAAGGUCUUUGGCCAACUGGACAUGUUCUAGCACCUCAGCAUACGAGCUGGGUCUCAGCAUCAGAAACCGAUCGUAG